CCUACGGGUGGCAGCAGUGAGGAAUAUUGGUCAAUGGGCGCGAGCCUGAACCAGCCAAGUAGCGUGAAGGUUGACUGCCCUACGGGUUGUAAACUUCUUUUAUAAAGGAAUAAAGUGAGGCACGUGUGCCUUUUUGUAUGUACUUUAUGAAUAAGGACCGGCUAACUCCGUGCCAGCAGCCGCGGUAAUACGGAGGAUCCGGGCGUUAUCCGGAUUUAUUGGGUUUAAAGGGAGCGUAGAUGGGAUGUUAAGUCAGGUGUGAAAGUGUGCGGCUCAACCGUAAAAUUGCAAUUGAUACUGGCAGCCUUGAGUGCAGGUGAGGUAGGCGGAAUUCGUGGUGUAGCGGUGAAAUGCUUAGAUAUCACGAAGAACUCCGAUUGCGAAGGCAGCAUACUAAACCGCCACUGACAUUGAUGCUCGAAAGUGUGGGUAUCAAACAGGAUUAGAUACCCUAGUAGUC
This 460-nucleotide ribosomal RNA is filed under the name uncultured bacterium. Its description in RNAcentral is "partial 16S ribosomal RNA". It matches the Rfam family "Bacterial small subunit ribosomal RNA", at positions 338 to 795 of the family's 1533-position model. The record is from RNAcentral.